Molecule: non-coding RNA, 135 nt
Organism: Aspergillus luchuensis
Lineage: Eukaryota; Fungi; Ascomycota; Eurotiomycetes; Eurotiales; Aspergillaceae
Source: Rfam
GCCCUUGUGGCGCAAUCGGUAGCGCGUAAGACUUGCAAGUACCCCCUACCACGCCUUAAAUAAAAACUCCCUACUAACUGUCUGUGAAGCUACUCUGAGAUCUUAAGGCUGUGGGUUCGAUCCCCACCAGGGGCU